Long non-coding RNA from Arabidopsis lyrata subsp. lyrata, 592 nucleotides. RefSeq lists it as uncharacterized. The record is from RefSeq and is a predicted model, not a curated record. The transcript has 2 exons. Lineage: Eukaryota; Viridiplantae; Streptophyta; Magnoliopsida; Brassicales; Brassicaceae.
ACUUGAUUUGGGUUUUAUGAUUAUCACCAAAGUUUUAUCAUUAUGCUAAAUUUUGUAAAAUUUUAAUUAUCUAUAAAUUGACUUUCAUCGGUGAUAAACAAGAGUGCUAAUUGUUUUAUAGUGUUCAAUGUGAUAUUUUGCAAAGGAUCAAAAGGUGACCAGAGACCAGUAAAUUAGAUGACCUUGACCUAACACGAGACGAGCUACACAAGAAAGAGAUUCUCAAGAAACUCAUGUCUGAGUUGGAGACCUUAAUCAUCUCAUUUCUGCAACCCUGAUAGAUGCAGUUCUUGGAGACCUUAAUCAACUUGAGCAUAGGGAGAGGAACAGGAGGAAGCUAGUUAGGCUUCAAGAAGUUCGUCUCUUUCCUUCACCUCUUAAAGUUGCUUGCUUUUACUAUUUUAAGCUAGCUGGCCUCAAGAAGUUUGUCUCUAUCUUUGUUAGUUUUAUUUUGUUUUAAUACUUGGCAGCACUUACGAUAUUAGUAUAGGAUUUGUAUUGGUAUGAUGUUAUAGUAUAGGAUUUGUAUUGGUAUGAUGUUAUGUAAGACUUGUUUUGGUUAGUGUAAUAUUUAUAUUAUGUAUGUUGAUGA